GGGGGGGCCGGGAUCGGGUGGCUCGGGGGGGCCGCCCCAAAUGGUACGGGGGCAGCCGCGGGCGGCACGGAGCGGGGCUUGUAGGGCCGGGGAGCUGCGGUUGUAGGGGUUGGGGAGAUGCGGUUAUAGGGCUGGGGAGCUGAGGGUAUAGGGGUUGGGAAGAUGAGGCUAUAGGGCUGCGGAGGUGCGUGUAUAGGGCUGGAGAGCUGCGGAUAUAGGGUCGGAGAGCUGUGGGUAUAGGGGUUUCGGUGCUGUGGGUAUAGGGGUUUUGGUGCUGAGGCUAUAGGGCUGGGGAGAUGAGGCUGUAGGGCUGGGAUCUGCGGUUAUAGGGCUGGGGAGAUGCGGCUAUAGGGUUUACGGAGCUGCGGCUACAGGGGCUGAGGAGCUGUGGUUAUAGGGCCGGGACCUUCGGCUCUAGGGCCGGGAUCUGCGGCUGUAGGGCCGGGAGCAGCGGCUGUAGGGCUGGGAUCCGCGGCCGUGCUUGGGGCCGGUCGGGGCCGUGCCGGGAGGAGCCGGGAGCGCCCCGGAGACGUCUCGGGGCCGCACCGCCGCCGCCUCCCCCCGCCCCCUGCCCAGCGCCUUCGGGGGGGGGGGGAGGCGGGGGGUGCAGCUGAGCCCCCCCCAUCCCAAUUUCUCACCCCCCCCCCAAACCGUCACAAACCCCAAACCAGCACCAAACCCCGCUGCCGCGGUAGGGCUGGAUCCUUCUCCUCUCCCCCGGGCCCCGUCCUGGUGAAUAUUUGGGGACCCCCCCCCCCAAAAAAAAACACACGGUGGUGUGUGGGCAGGAAGGGGGCAGAGCUGGGGGGCCCUGCUCCGCUCCCCCUCAAAAUUAUUAUUUUAUUUUAUUUUAUUUUAUUUUAUUUUAUUUUAUUUUAUUUUAUUUUAUUUUAUUUUAUUUAUUUUAUUUCAUUUCUUUUCAUUUUGUUUCAUUUCGUUUCAUUUUAUUUCAUUUCGUUUCAUUUCACUUUAUUUUUUUACUUUAUUUUACUUUCAUUUCAUUUCAUUUCAUUCUAGUUUACUUUAUUCCGUUUUACUUCAUUUCGUUUCACAUUAUUUCCCUUUAUUUCCCUUCGUUUCGUUCCACCUCGCCCCAUUUCGCUUUGCCCCGUUUCGCUUCAUUCCGUCUCGUUUCCCUCGCCAAACGCCUGCGCGCUCCCGCUGCGGCGCCGUGACCGUGGGAACCCGCGGGAGCGCGCCCGGGGUGAACGGGAGCGCGCCGGGGGCGCGGCGGCGGCCGCCAAACCCCUGCCCGGGGGGGUCCCGGCGCUGCCCCCCGCCUGCUCUGCCCCAGCCGCACGCAGCCACGGCCCCGACACCAUAGCGCCCUCGGCCCCAUAGCACCGAGCCAUACAGACAUACAGCCAUACAGACGUACAGCCAUACAGACAUACAGCCAUACAGACGUACAGCCAUAUAGACGUACAGCCAUACAGACGUACAGCCAUAUAGACGUACAGCCAUACAGACAUACAGACACACAGCCAUAUAGACGUACAGCCAUAUAUCGUACGGCCAUCCAGCCUUCUACUCGUCUGCACAUUCAGCCCCAUAGGUACCUAGCCAUAUAGACACGUUACGCGACCUUCUAGCCAUCGACUCAUUUACAUUUUUACCCAUUUACCCAUUUACUCAUUUAUCCACAUAUCCAUAUACCCAUAUAUCCAUUUAUCCAUAUAUUCUUAUAUCCAUUUAU
Anser cygnoides (Swan goose) is the source of this 1696-nucleotide long non-coding RNA. The record is from Ensembl. Lineage: Eukaryota; Metazoa; Chordata; Aves; Anseriformes; Anatidae.